GGCUGGUCCGAUGGUAGUGGGUUAUCAGAACUUAUUAACAUUAGUGUCACUAAAGUGGGUAUUCAACCCGCCCUGCUAAAUUUGACUGGCUUUAA
This 95-nucleotide Y RNA is filed under the name Propithecus coquereli (Coquerel's sifaka). RNAcentral's name for it is "Y RNA (ENSPCOG00000009184.1)". It matches the Rfam family "Y RNA". From Rfam's summary of the family: Y RNAs are components of the Ro ribonucleoprotein particle (Ro RNP), in association with Ro60 and La proteins. The Y RNAs and Ro60 and La proteins are well conserved, but the function of the Ro RNP is not known. The record is from Rfam by way of RNAcentral. Lineage: Eukaryota; Metazoa; Chordata; Mammalia; Primates; Indriidae.